GAACCCUGAUCCAGCCAUGCCGCGUGUGUGAAGAAGGCCUUAUGGUUGUAAAGCACUUUAAGCGAGGAGGAGGCUCUUUUGGUUAAUACCCAAGAUGAGUGGACGUUACUCGCAGAAUAAGCACCGGCUAACUCUGUGCCAGCAGCCGCGGUAAUACAGAGGGUGCGAGCGUUAAUCGGAUUUACUGGGCGUAAAGCGUGCGUAGGCGGCUUUUUAAGUCGGAUGUGAAAUCCCCGAGCUUAACUUGGGAAUUGCAUUCGAUACUGGGAAGCUAGAGUAUGGGAGAGGAUGGUAGAAUUCCAGGUGUAGCGGUGAAAUGCGUAGAGAUCUGGAGGAAUACCGAUGGCGAAGGCAGCCAUCUGGCCUAAUACUGACGCUGAGGUACGAAAGCAUGGGGAGCAAACAGGAUUAGAUACCCUGGUAGUCCAUGCCGUAAACGAUGUCUACUAGCCGUUGGGGUCUUUGAGACUUUAGUGGCGCAGCUAACGCGAUAAGUAGA
This 499-nucleotide ribosomal RNA is filed under the name Acinetobacter bereziniae. Its description in RNAcentral is "bacterial SSU rRNA". It matches the Rfam family "Bacterial small subunit ribosomal RNA", at positions 378 to 868 of the family's 1533-position model. The record is from RNAcentral. Lineage: Bacteria; Pseudomonadati; Pseudomonadota; Gammaproteobacteria; Moraxellales; Moraxellaceae.